GGUUAAGCGACUAAGCGUACACGGUGGAUGCCCUGGCAGUCAGAGGCGAUGAAGGACGUGCUAAUCUGCGAAAAGCGUCGGUAAGGUGAUAUGAACCGUUACAGCCGGCGAUGUCCGAAUGGGGAAACCCAGUGCAAUUCGUUGCACUAUCGUUAACUGAAUACAUAGGUUAACGAGGCGAACCGGGGGAACUGAAACAUCUAAGUACCCCGAGGAAAAGAAAUCAACCGAGAUUCCCCCAGUAGCGGCGAGCGAACGGGGAGCAGCCCAGAGUCUGAAUCAGCUUGUGUGUUAGUGGAACGGUCUGGAAAGUCCGACGGUACAGGGUGAUAGUCCCGUACACCAAAAUGCACAGGCUGUGAACUCGAAGAGUAGGGCGGGACACGUGGUAUCCUGUCUGAAUAUGGGGGGACCAUCCUCCAAGGCUAAAUACUCCUGACUGACCGAUAGUGAACCAGUACCGUGAGGGAAAGGCGAAAAGAACCCCGGCGAGGGGAGUGAAAAAGAACCUGAAACCGUGUACGUACAAGCAGUGGGAGCACCUUCGGGUGUGACUGCGUACCUUUUGUAUAAUGGGUCAGCGACUUAUAUUCUGUAGCAAGGUUAACCGUAUAGGGGAGCCGCAGGGAAACCGAGUCUUAACUGGGCGUUAAGUUGCAGGGUAUAGACCCGAAACCCGGUGAUCUAGCCAUGGGCAGGUUGAAGGUUGGGUAACACUAACUGGAGGACCGAACCGACUAAUGUUGAAAAAUUAGCGGAUGACUUGUGGCUGGGGGUGAAAGGCCAAUCAAACCGGGAGAUAGCUGGUUCUCCCCGAAAGCUAUUUAGGUAGCGCCUCGUGAAUUCAUCUUCGGGGGUAGAGCACUGUUUCGGCUAGGGGGUCAUCCCGACUUACCAACCCGAUGCAAACUACGAAUACCGAAGAAUGUUAUCACGGGAGACACACGGCGGGUGCUAACGUCCGUCGUGAAGAGGGAAACAACCCAGACCGCCAGCUAAGGUCCCAAAGUCAUGGUUAAGUGGGAAACGAUGUGGGAAGGCACAGACAGCCAGGAUGUUGGCUUAGAAGCAGCCAUCAUUUAAAGAAAGCGUAAUAGCUCACUGGUCGAGUCGGCCUGCGCGGAAGAUGUAACGGGGCUAAACCAUGCACCGAAGCUGCGGCAGCGACACUAUGUGUUGUUGGGUAGGGGAGCGUUCUGUAAGCCUGCGAAGGUGUGCUGUGAGGCAUGCUGGAGGUAUCAGAAGUGCGAAUGCUGACAUAAGUAACGAUAAAGCGGGUGAAAAGCCCGCUCGCCGGAAGACCAAGGGUUCCUGUCCAACGUUAAUCGGGGCAGGGUGAGUCGACCCCUAAGGCGAGGCCGAAAGGCGUAGUCGAUGGGAAACAGGUUAAUAUUCCUGUACUUGGUGUUACUGCGAAGGGGGGACGGAGAAGGCUAUGUUAGCCGGGCGACGGUUGUCCCGGUUUAAGCAUGUAGGCUGGUUAUCCAGGCAAAUCCGGAUAAUCAAGGCUGAGGUGUGAUGACGAGGCACUACGGUGCUGAAGUAACAAAUGCCCUGCUUCCAGGAAAAGCCUCUAAGCAUCAGGUAACAUCAAAUCGUACCCCAAACCGACACAGGUGGUCAGGUAGAGAAUACCAAGGCGCUUGAGAGAACUCGGGUGAAGGAACUAGGCAAAAUGGUGCCGUAACUUCGGGAGAAGGCACGCUGGUGUGUAGGUGAAGUCCCUGCGGAUGGAGCUGAGACCAGUCGAAGAUACCAGCUGGCUGCAACUGUUUAUUAAAAACACAGCACUGUGCAAACACGAAAGUGGACGUAUACGGUGUGACGCCUGCCCGGUGCCGGAAGGUUAAUUGAUGGGGUUAUCCGUAAGGAGAAGCUCUUGAUCGAAGCCCCGGUAAACGGCGGCCGUAACUAUAACGGUCCUAAGGUAGCGAAAUUCCUUGUCGGGUAAGUUCCGACCUGCACGAAUGGCGUAAUGAUGGCCAGGCUGUCUCCACCCGAGACUCAGUGAAAUUGAACUCGCUGUGAAGAUGCAGUGUACCCGCGGCAAGACGGAAAGACCCCGUGAACCUUUACUAUAGCUUGACACUGAACAUUGAGCCUUGAUGUGUAGGAUAGGUGGGAGGCUUUGAAGCGUGGACGCCAGUCUGCGUGGAGCCAACCUUGAAAUACCACCCUUUAAUGUUUGAUGUUCUAACGUUGGCCCCUUACCGGGGUUGCGGACAGUGUCUGGUGGGUAGUUUGACUGGGGCGGUCUCCUCCCAAAGCGUAACGGAGGAGCACGAAGGUUAGCUAAUCCUGGUCGGACAUCAGGAGGUUAGUGCAAUGGCAUAAGCUAGCUUGACUGCGAGCGUGACGGCGCGAGCAGGUGCGAAAGCAGGUCAUAGUGAUCCGGUGGUUCUGAAUGGAAGGGCCAUCGCUCAACGGAUAAAAGGUACUCCGGGGAUAACAGGCUGAUACCGCCCAAGAGUUCAUAUCGACGGCGGUGUUUGGCACCUCGAUGUCGGCUCAUCACAUCCUGGGGCUGAAGUAGGUCCCAAGGGUAUGGCUGUUCGCCAUUUAAAGUGGUACGCGAGCUGGGUUUAGAACGUCGUGAGACAGUUCGGUCCCUAUCUGCCGUGGGCGCUGGAGAAUUGAGGGGGGCUGCUCCUAGUACGAGAGGACCGGAGUGGACGCAUCACUGGUGUUCGGGUUGUCAUGCCAAUGGCACUGCCCGGUAGCUAAAUGCGGAAGAGAUAAGUGCUGAAAGCAUCUAAGCACGAAACUUGCCCCGAGAUGAGUUCUCCCUGAGACUUUAAGUCUCCUGAAGGAACGUUAAAGACGAUGACGUUGAUAGGCCGGGUGUGUAAGCGCAGCGAUGCGUUGAGCUAACCGGUACUAAUGAACCGUGAGGCUUAACCUU
Molecule: ribosomal RNA, 2902 nt
Filed under: Klebsiella pneumoniae
Lineage: Bacteria; Pseudomonadati; Pseudomonadota; Gammaproteobacteria; Enterobacterales; Enterobacteriaceae
Also listed under: 1 other name
Description: 23S ribosomal RNA
Rfam family: Bacterial large subunit ribosomal RNA
Source: RNAcentral